RNAcentral lists this ribosomal RNA (448 nucleotides) under Escherichia coli. RNAcentral's name for it is "bacterial SSU rRNA". It matches the Rfam family "Bacterial small subunit ribosomal RNA", at positions 1 to 445 of the family's 1533-position model. The record is from RNAcentral. Lineage: Bacteria; Pseudomonadati; Pseudomonadota; Gammaproteobacteria; Enterobacterales; Enterobacteriaceae.
AAAUUGAAGAGUUUGAUCAUGGCUCAGAUUGAACGCUGGCGGCAGGCCUAACACAUGCAAGUCGAACGGUAACAGGAAGAAGCUUGCUUCUUUGCUGACGAGUGGCGGACGGGUGAGUAAUGUCUGGGAAACUGCCUGAUGGAGGGGGAUAACUACUGGAAACGGUAGCUAAUACCGCAUAACGUCGCAAGACCAAAGAGGGGGACCUUCGGGCCUCUUGCCAUCGGAUGUGCCCAGAUGGGAUUAGCUAGUAGGUGGGGUAACGGCUCACCUAGGCGACGAUCCCUAGCUGGUCUGAGAGGAUGACCAGCCACACUGGAACUGAGACACGGUCCAGACUCCUACGGGAGGCAGCAGUGGGGAAUAUUGCACAAUGGGCGCAAGCCUGAUGCAGCCAUGCCGCGUGUAUGAAGAAGGCCUUCGGGUUGUAAAGUACUUUCAGCGGGGA